Molecule: ribosomal RNA, 468 nt
Filed under: uncultured bacterium
Lineage: Bacteria
Description: partial 16S ribosomal RNA
Rfam family: Bacterial small subunit ribosomal RNA
Source: RNAcentral
GACGAACGCUGGCGGCGUGCUUAACACAUGCAAGUCGAACGGAAAGGCCCUGCUUUUGUGGUGUGCUCGAGUGGCGAACGGGUGAGUAACACGUGAGUAACCUGCCCUUGACUUUGGGAUAACUUCAGGAAACUGGGGCUAAUACCGGAUAGGAGCUCCUGCUGCAUUGAGGGGGUUGGAAAGUUUCGGCGGUUGGGGAUGGACUCGCGGCUUAUCAGCUUGUUGGUGGGGUAGUGGCUUACCAAGGCUUUGACGGGUAGCCGGCCCGAGAGGGUGGCCGGGCACAAUGGGACUAGGAAACGGACCAGACUACUACGGGCGGCAACAGGGGGGAACAUUGGCCAAUGGGCAGAAGUCUGAUGACGCAACGACGGGGUCGGGAAGACCGACUUUGGGGUGUAAACCGCUUUCGCCUGUGACGAAGCGUGAGUGACGGUAAUGGGUAAAGAAGCACCGGCUAACUACGUG